UGGGGAAUUUUGGACAAUGGGCGCAAGCCUGAUCCAGCCAUGCCGCGUGCGGGAAGAAGGCCUUCGGGUUGUAAACCGCUUUUGUCAGGGAAGAAAUCUUCUGAGUUAAUACCUCGGGAGGAUGACGGUACCUGAAGAAUAAGCACCGGCUAACUACGUGCCAGCAGCCGCGGUAAUACGUAGGGUGCAAGCGUUAAUCGGAAUUACUGGGCGUAAAGCGUGCGCAGGCGGUUUUGUAAGACAGAGGUGAAAUCCCCGGGCUCAACCUGGGAACUGCCUUUGUGACUGCAAGGCUUGAGUGCGGCAGAGGGGGAUGGAAUUCCGCGUGUAGCAGUGAAAUGCGUAGAUAUGCGGAGGAACACCGAUGGCGAAGGCAAUCCCCUGGGCCUGCACUGACGCUCAUGCGCGAAAGCGUGGGGAGCAAAACAGGAUUAGAUACCCUGGGUAGUCCACGCCCUAAACGAUGUCAACUGGUUGUUGGGAAGGUUCCUUCUCAGUAACGUAGCUAACGCGUGAAGUUGGACCGCCUGGGGAGUACGGCCGCAAGGUUG
RNAcentral lists this ribosomal RNA (551 nucleotides) under uncultured bacterium. Its description in RNAcentral is "partial 16S ribosomal RNA". It matches the Rfam family "Bacterial small subunit ribosomal RNA", at positions 355 to 896 of the family's 1533-position model. The record is from RNAcentral.